CUUAAAAAGGUUAAGAGGGGGUUGACCCAGUCAAAGAAGCCACACUCGGUUUGACCCGAGCCCAGACUUCCCUCUUCCUCUCCGCCUGCCUCCGGCGUCCUCCGCAUGACGCCGCCGUAUCCGGCCAUCCCUGGCAACGAGACCAUCUUCAAUCUCUUCCUCUCCUUCUCUUCUAUCUAAACCCAGUCCACAUAUCUCGAUUUUGGUCCGAUUCAAAGUCAAAUCGAGGGAGAGAAGCCUCGGCUGUUUCCGGCGAGUCCUCGAGAUUUCCGGCCACGGCUUGACGAGUAAAUGGUAGGGUUUUGUUCCUUUCCUCUUCUUCUCCAAUUUCAUGUCUUCAAUCGUUUAAAUCGAGCCCUAACCCCUCUUCUGUGUUUUUCUGGGUUUCGGGUUCUUAGCUCCGACGUUGUGUUCUUGCCCUUCCGGUGAGCUUCCCGAGCUCCUAUGAGACCUGCAUACCUCGAGAGAAGCCCAGAUGUCUUUUGGUGGAGCUUUGGAGCUGCAUCGAUCCAGGUUCAAGCGGAGGUAAGGAGCUCAGCUGAGGUUGAGGUUCGAAAAGGAGGAGUUUCCUUCUUCAAUUGGUCGUUGUUUUGGAGAACAAAAGGUAAUCUCGUCUCCUUGAGCCUCUGGGUUAUUGUUGCUACGUUGUGGAGGUUUUUCCUUGAUAGUUUGGUUGCUAAAAGUGUUGUUGUGCUCUUGAAUGUCGAGAACUUGGUGUUUUAGAAAAUACGGGGAGGUUAUGGUGAAAUUCCGACAAAAGGUCGGAAUCCGGUAGAAUAUUCCGGCAAGUCGCUGGAAUCCGACGAAGCAGCAGAUCCGGCAGAGAGCUGAGAAGGUAGUUCUCGAAGUUAUUCUUCCUAACGCAAGUCGUAGUUUCCGGUUUAGUAAAAUCUGUCAUUUUAGGAAAGUUUCUAUUUAAGGGGACUUUCCCUUUUUGGAAACUUUCUAUUUAUGGAAACCCAUUUUGGGUGUCCUCAGUGAUUUAUGGUGUGAAAUUGUAUAGAUUCUAGUGACUGAGGAUUGUUUGGUUGGAGAAUCAUUUGUAAUUGAAUUAUUAAAAUGGUUGUUGGAAUUAAUUGGAUGGUUAGAGUAAUCAAGGUAACCCGAUUUGUUAAGUCGAAGGUGAAAGUGGAAAUUGUCGAGGUAUCGUUAGUUGGCUAACCAUAAAUCAGUUGGUCAAACGUGGGUCAAGCCUGGUCAAUUUCUGGUCAACCUAGGAGAUUCUAAUCGAACUAGGAAGAAGUUGAAUAGUUAAUUUUUAUGGGGUCCGGUCUGACCGAUUUGUUCUUCUGUUUAUUAUCAGACGUGGGUUUUGGCUAGAGAGUGUGAAUAUUUGGAGGCAGCGCUCGAGGAGUAUUCCGAGCAUUGGAAGGCUUAGGCCUCAUACUGUGAGUGGACUUUUGUUUUAAAUAAAAUGCAUGCUAUAGUUCAUAGAUGAACAAUUAAUGUUGUGGUGAAUUUUGACGUCAUUUUAUCUUGACGAUUUUAUUUCUCUUGGACAGUUACCGAAAAUGGGAUUUUCGGUGGAUAUAAAUAUGUAUUUAUGAGAGAGUAUGUAUAUAAAUGCUAGCUAGAGCUAUGUGUCUGUCCACCUUAAUGGCGUAGCAUAUAGCCGCAUUAUGGUGUGACGUGAGCGUUGGAUGCGAGCGUAGUAGCCCUAUAUGAGUGCUUAAUUCAUAUAGGGGGUAUGGGCACAUAUUUAUAUACCCGUCUGUCCACCUUAAUGGCGUAGUGUAGCACCGCAUUAAGGCGUGACGUGAGCGUUGGACGCGAGCGUAGUAGCCCUAUAUAGACCCAUGAAUUUAUAUAGGGAGUAUGGACGUGUGUAAAUACAUACAUAUAUUAUACAGCCUGAGAGGCUCGAUAUUUAUGAGAUAAAAAGUUUUAUCGCUUGCAACAUGCAUUCGAUUUUCCUUGGAAAUUUAUUUGGGGAAACAUAAAUAUUUUAUUCGUUAAUUUAUUUUUGUCCACUCACUCUAACGUUUCGUUUCCAAAUGUUUUCCCCUGGGCUCUUCGUUUUAAAAAUGCCCAGUUUACAGAAUUGCAUAGUUGAGGUCGGGCGUACGUGGAGAAGAGGCAUAGUCAAUAGUAUAGCUUCCGCUCAUUAUAUUUCUAGUUCAUCUCCUUUUAAAUAGAGUUGCUCUAAACUGUGGUUGUUGGUUAUGAGAUUAAAUUGUUAGAGUUAGUAAAUAAAUUGGGAGAUAUCGUGUUUUGGGGAGCACGAAGGCUCCAGGAGUUUAAGGUUGGGUUUAGAUUUUCAGAAGUGUAUGCAGGUAUUAUUUAGAAAGGGUCGUCCAUUUUCAAGGGAGGUUAUGUCGAAUUUUUGGUAAACUUUCCUUGGAGGUGGUCCCCGCAGGAUUUACUUUGUAUUUCAGGGUGAAAUUUGGGGUGAGUCCUGACAAUCAGUCUUACUCGAUCCCUUUCGUUAAAUCUCAUUAUCUUUUGGGAAAAUGCCCAAAUGCAUAAAAAC
Molecule: long non-coding RNA, 2470 nt
Filed under: Fragaria vesca (wild strawberry)
Lineage: Eukaryota; Viridiplantae; Streptophyta; Magnoliopsida; Rosales; Rosaceae
Description: long non-coding RNA (FVES_LNC002382)
Source: RNAcentral